RNAcentral lists this unclassified non-coding RNA (308 nucleotides) under Hevea brasiliensis (rubber tree). The record is from RNAcentral. Lineage: Eukaryota; Viridiplantae; Streptophyta; Magnoliopsida; Malpighiales; Euphorbiaceae.
GGUGCUAAGUCGAUAGAGAUCGAUUUAAAAGUGGCAAAACAGUACUUUUACUGUUCUUAAAAACAGUAAAAGCGUCCACUUAGUAUAUAGUAAUAAUGUGAAUAAAAAUAUAAAGCUUUGAUAAAAGCCAAUGACGUCAAUUUCUCUUAUAGAGAAAACAAAAAACCAGAACAUUUAGAGUUAAACAAAAACUAACAUAUGGUUUCACUCCUUGUAGUAGCGAUAGCAUUUGUAACUGCUCAAGUCAAAUUAGCUUAAACUUCUCUUGCAACCCUUAUCAACAUCUUUUAAUUUUCCCCCCUUCGGCC